RNAcentral lists this long non-coding RNA (164 nucleotides) under Coturnix japonica (Japanese quail). RNAcentral's name for it is "lncRNA (ENSCJPG00005015526.1)". Lineage: Eukaryota; Metazoa; Chordata; Aves; Galliformes; Phasianidae. The record is from RNAcentral.
ACAUGCUAUGAGAACAGGGACUGCAGUGAUCCCAAUUCUGUUGCUUAGUUAAAUUUCGAGGGAGAAAGAGAAUGCCAAAAGGUUUGGUAGGUUAUGGAAGAAGAAGUUGGACGUGAGAAUCAUCUAGAAAUAAAUUAACAGGUAUUAAAAAAAAAUAAUUCUUA